RNAcentral lists this ribosomal RNA (776 nucleotides) under uncultured Neocallimastigales. Its description in RNAcentral is "partial large subunit ribosomal RNA". It matches the Rfam family "Eukaryotic large subunit ribosomal RNA", at positions 18 to 643 of the family's 3401-position model. The record is from RNAcentral. Lineage: Eukaryota; Fungi; Neocallimastigomycota; Neocallimastigomycetes; Neocallimastigales.
UCAGACGAUGCGUCAUGCAUAUCAAUAAGCGGAGGAAAAGAAACUAACAAGGAUUCCCCUAGUAACGGCGAGUGAAGCGGGAAGAGCUCAAAUUUGAAAUCUUAAAGGGUUUCCCUUUACGAAUUGUAGUUUAAAGAAGUGUUUUCUGUUGAGGUUUUGGUAAAAGUUCUUUGGAAUAGGACAUCAUAGAGGGUGAGAAUCCCGUAUUUGACCUUUACUUUCAACUUUGUGAUACACUUUCAAAGAGUCGGAUUGUUUGGGAAUGCAGUCCAAAAUGGGUGGUAAAUUUCAUCUAAAGCUAAAUAUUGGCGAGAGACCGAUAGCGAACAAGUACCGUGAGGGAAAGAUGAAAAGAACUUUGAAAAGAGAGUUAAACAGUACGUGAAAUUGUCAAAAGGGAAGCGUUUGACACCAGUGUUGUUUUUUCUGAGAAAUCAAUUAAAGAACUGUUUAUGCUAAGCUGUUUAGACUUUAUCAGCUAUCUGUUUAGUUUUGAGCUUUUCUUUAAUGCACUUUUCAGUUAACAAGUCAACAUCAAUUUCUUUUGCUGUAAAAAAGCUUGAGGAAGGUGGCUUGAGAUUCGUCUUAAGUGUUUAUAGCCUCUUGCCUAUGCAGUCGGAGAGAUUGAGGUCUGCAGCGUAGAUCCUUCGGGGCUAAAUGCAUUUGUGCUAAGUUAUAGCAUUUUAUAGACAACUUGUUGACUAUGAUUUGUCUUGUAGCUUACUCGCUUAUGUUAUUUUACCUACGCUUAGGAUGUUGACACACGCGCGUGCUCG